Papilio polytes (common Mormon) is the source of this 693-nucleotide long non-coding RNA. RefSeq lists it as uncharacterized. NCBI's taxonomy places the organism in Eukaryota, Metazoa, Arthropoda, Insecta, Lepidoptera, Papilionidae. The transcript is spliced from 2 exons. The record is from RefSeq and is a predicted model, not a curated record.
UCGUAAGUUAAUGGCGGAGUCUUUUUAAUUCCGUAAUAUUUUUGAAGAAUCUUAAUUAAAAUAGGAAGAAUUGGUGUCUUGGACGCGGAGGCUUAUCGAAGCGAGUAUUAUACUGAUUAUUUAAGAUAUAAGAUAGAUGAGGAACGCUUACAAGUGUUUGAGCGUAAGAUACUGCGUCGCAUUUAUGGUGCUGUUCUCAUUGGUGAUCAAUGGCGAUCACGAUACAACCACGAGCUGUACCAAAUGUAUAAAGAGCCAAACAUCAACAAGGUCAUCAAAAUUGGACGACUGCGCUGGGCAGGACAUGUUGCCCGCAUGGAUGAUUGCAGAGUUCCUAAACGCCUGUUGGAAAAUAAGCCGGAUGGACGUAGAGCGCGUGGUAGGCCGAAACUUAGAUGGCUAGACGAAGUCGAACGCGAUCUUAAGAACAUCGGCGUCAAGGGCUGGAAGCAAAAGGCCCAAAAUAGACAGAAGUGGAGAAGUUUACUGGACCAGGCCCAGGCCCACACGCGGCUGUAGUGCCUCAGAAGAAGAAGAAGAUAUAAGAUAUUACCUCCAUAAGACUGUUUUAUUUAGCAAUGUCUGAUAUUUUAAUUAUGUAUUUUGUAUUGUUUUUGGUAAAUACAUUAAUGAUAACAAUGAUAUAUUAAAAUCCAUCUGAAGCAAAAAUCUUCUGAUGUUAGAAAACAAAAA